Long non-coding RNA from Notolabrus celidotus (New Zealand spotty), 780 nucleotides. RefSeq lists it as uncharacterized. The transcript is spliced from 3 exons. NCBI's taxonomy places the organism in Eukaryota, Metazoa, Chordata, Actinopteri, Labriformes, Labridae. The record is from RefSeq and is a predicted model, not a curated record.
AGUCUCAGCUUCACUGUCAACUCCUCCAGAUUUUGCGUCUGCAGGAGCGGAGAAGGAGUCAGCCAGGCUGCCAUGUUGGGGUCUGGGAAUCUGUGUUCUUCCAGCUCUACUCGUCUCCGUUGUCACCUUCAUCGUCGGACUCUUCGUCUACUCAGGUAAACCAGCAGGGUGCAGCUGCUGCAGGAGCAACAGCAGUCCGAAGAACACAGAGGACCCGUCUUUGCACUACUCCAGUCUGAAGCAUGGAGAUCAGCUCCAGCCUCCAAGCCGAGGAAGAGGAGGGUCACGUCUAGUCAAAGAGGAAGUGAUAUACUCGACGGUAUCCGGCUGCAAGAAGCUGCAGGGAUCACAGGGCCGCUGAUGUUCUCACCUCCAUCAUGAACUGUGUUUCAAACUGUUUAAAGAUUCAGCAGCUGUUUCUAUAAAUCCUCCCUCUUAAAGCUCUUUAUUCCACUUUAUUAAAACGCAGCAGACUGUGAGACGCUGUAAAUAUGUUGCUCUGUGGAAUCAUGUUUACCUUCCUUAUGAUCUUCUCCUCACGCACACUCACACACACACACACACACACACACACACACACACACACACACACACACACACACACACACACACCUCAGAUGAAUGUAAAAAUGUGACUGACACACUGUUAUUGCCUCCUAUUGCACAAAUGUUGAUGUUAUUAAGAUGUACACACUCCACAGGUAGUGAAGUGGAUGUGUUUCAUGUGUUACACUGUGAAUUUAAAAAAAUGUGACUGAAAUAAAUAAAGAUUCAAACUUC